UCCUCUAAAAAAAAAAUAAAGAAAAAGAAAGAUUGUUGAGGGUCCCCUUCUUCCUGGUAUGGGGGAGGGAACCAUGUUACAAGUGGAAAUUCCCUUUACAAAAGAGAAGUGUUGUGUUUUUAGAGUUUUUCCUAUGGGUUCUCAGUGGCUUUAGUUCAAAAUAAUCCAUAUGCCAAAGAGCCAUACUAGGGGUGGCAUGUUCUGGACUUCUCGGCCACAGGUCAGGACCACCGCACUGGCUCAUUUAACUCGUCUGCCUGCACCUGUUUCUCCCAACCCAGCUGACCUCCCACCUCGCUCAGACGGACUUCACUACAGCGUGGCAGCAUGAACCUGCUCACUUGUGUGUUUGACCUUCAGAGGCUCCAAAGGCCCCCGGGGUUAAAGGUCAGAUUCCUGACUCAGGCCCCGCCCCGUAUCUCUUACAGCUGGGUUGACCAGAUCUCGCUUCUUCAAGAACGUGUCCUGUUGACCGGCUGUUUGGCGUGACUGACUCUCUGUUGUUGUGUGUAGGGUUUUUAAAGAUGUUUUGGGGACUUAUUCUUGUAUGACCAAGAUAACCCAAGGAUAUUUUGACAUGGCAUAAAACCCACUGAGUUUUUAUCUUUUAAAAAUAUUGCCCAAUGAUGGACAUGACAGAAAUGCUCUCCUUCUCCUUAAUCCUUGUCUUUUCUCUCGACCCCAGCUCUCUUCACUGCCGCUCACGGGCAGGUGAGGUUUGGCGGUAGGUGUUGGUGGCUUAUUAUUGUAACACCUUGAAGUGAGUUUCCUAAUAUGGACGAGCACAGUGUCCUCCACAGGAAAUGCUGGCUUUAAAAAGCCCGAGUCAAAACCUCUUUGUUCCGGUCUCGUCUCCAGGGCAGACCGUGUUAACUCUGCUCCCACACUGUCCCCAGACCACUCAGGACUGUCCUCUCUCUGUGCCUUUCCUCAUCCGCUUAUUCCCAACCACAUCGUGACUCCUCCGCCCCUUUUCCUGUCCGGGCAUCCUCCAGGAGAAAGCGCAGGUGUCCCACUGUUGACAUCAUCCCCUGCAGGCCUGUCGCCAGGGGUCCUACUCAGAAUCCCAUGCUUGGUUAUCUGUAUUGAUCAACCAAACUUUGUCACAUCCCCCGGAAACCCCCUUGUGGUUGGUUUCAGCUAUCUUUCAUCUCUCGUGCUUGUAUCAGUUAGCACUGAAUGGUCCUACACAUCACAGAAAACUUCAAGUCACAGAGUCUUCAGCGGGCUGGAAUUGGGGUUUUCUGUCCUACAAAGUCCUGUAGGUACGCCGUCCAGGACAGGUGGGCCAGUUCUGCUCCACGGUCCUCACACAGCCCAGCUCUUCCCGUUCAGCCAUCCACUGUCCCUGGAGGGUGGCCCUGUCCUCACAAAGAAGGUGGUACCCUUGUUCCAGCCUGUUGGAUGGUCGGUCAGACAAAGAAGGGGGCAAAGGCCACCCAUCAGUUGACUCAAACUGUCCAGUACUUUGUCAACAUCUCAGCCAGAGUUUCAUUGCGUUGCCACACCCAGAGGUCAUUGUAUAGAGUCACGGUCUUCUUCCCAGGUGCCUGUGUGUCCAGGCAACACUUUUACCACCAUGGAAGAAGGAGAGAACGGAAACUGGGGGAAAUUAGUCUCUGACAGCCCUCGCCUUCGCAAUCUUCACAUACGCAUGUCUUAAAGGGGACAGGGACCUCUCUCACACAUCUUAACUCACCCCUGGGGCCACCCAUGGGCCUGAAGACAAAACAAAUAAUCGGAAAGUUUCAGCUGCUCAUUUCAGGGGUUUGUGCUCAUUCGAACGUGAUGCUCUGACCCAGCCAUCAUCCUUGAGCUCAACCUCGAGUAAGCACAUUGUCUCCAUUCUUCCUAAAAAGGAUGCAGUUUUAGCCAGUUCAAAAUCAGAAAGUGAACACGUAAAUGGUGAGCGUCUCAUGCUAUCAAGGGAGGAGAAGCUGUUGCCCUUUGAGAUUUGCCCUGCAAAUGGGAUGGGCACAGUUGAGACCCUAAAGAGCUGGGGUAACGGGCUCGGCACCUGCCCCCCGAGGCACGUCGAGGGAAGAGGAAGAAGAGGAAGAACGUAGAAAGUGCAUGUGGUACAGGAGGCCCUCCCAUCACUGGUGACAACCAACACGCUCAGGUUUGUUUGCUUAAAACCGCGACCCCCCAGGAAGUGAAGGAGAGACUUGAGGAGAAAAGUAAGAAACAAAAGUGAUUGUGAACAAGAAAAGUAGGCUUUGUUUCCAGGCCACUCAGAGAAAGUAUGUAAAUAAUGACUUUUACUGGUAAUAACUAGAAUGACUCGUCAUGGACAAAAGUCAUUUCUAUCGUUUUUGUAUGUCCACAGAAAUAUCCCAGAAACCAAAGGUCGUGGUCCCAGAAGAUGUCCUGAUUCUAGGAAAUAAGUGAAACAUAGAAGUCUGGAGUCAGAACAAUCCCAGUAAAUCUUAAUAAAAGGGUUUAUAUUUUAGCACAAAGCAGACACUUGGAAGAAUUGACAAAAAAGGAUCCAGACUUGGCGAAAUGGCAGAUUCCAGGGCUGGGGCUGGGAUGUUGCAAGACGGGCUGAAAACAAUGGGAAAAGAAUGACUUGACAGUGAUGACAUCUGGCAGAUGCCACCUUCAUCAUAAGGCCACAAUUCAUACAAGCCAUGGGACCAGUCGAACCCAUUCACCACCCGGUAGGACCCAGCGAGGAGAGCAUGACAUCAUUUUUGUGAUACUUCUGCCAGAAAUGUGUAUCCUGAAUCCAGCCAGAGGAAACACUAGACAAACCCAACAUUCUACAAUUUGCAAUCAUCUAAAGGGCAUGAGACCAGGGAAAGACUGAGAAACUGGUUUUGAAGAAAAUCAAGGAGACUUUGAGAACCAAACACGACACGAGAUUCUAUACUGGAUCCCUUUAGUAUGAAGGACUUUAGUGGGACAAAUGGUGAAACUUGAAGGGUAUUGGGGACUGGAUGGUGGGGAGGGCUCUGUGCUAAUUGCCCAGGUAUCAAUUCUUCUUGCCUCAGCUUAUCAAUCAAUCCUUACCAAUAAUUAGUAAGACUGCAAAAUGAAAUUAAACAGUUUCCUUUACAUUUUCUGCCUACUGAGAGCUGUAAAACAUGAUGAUGAUAAAGCAAAUAGAAAAAUAAUGUUAGUAAAAGAUAGAAAUAUAAAAGCAUAUUUGGAAGAAAUUAUUCAAUGGAGAAUAAGAAAUGAGAGAAAUAUGUUCAGUGGUGGAAUAGUGCAGCCAGUGGGAUCAAUAUUUUAUUUUUAUCAUCAUUUAUCCUUUUAGCAUCAGACAUUUUGGGACCUUGACCUACUUUUUAGGCUUGACAUUUCAUUUACUUUUAUUGAUUAACUUUUUGUUUUUUUGUUUAUUUAGUUCUGAAGCACUAACAUGCAGGAACAGGAAAAAAACACUGGAAAAUUUGCUCUCAGGAGCUCCCAUCUGGGCCCUAAUGUGACAGAUGCUUAGAAAUUCAAUCCUGAGAAAUAAUGGGAUUAAGCUUGGGAAUAAUAAUGAUGACGUUCAGUUUAUUCAGAGUCUCACUGAGACUUCACAUUGGCACCUUUUCUUAGGAGAGGUGGAAGGGAAAAGGAGCAAGUGAAAGACAGCCUUUUUGUUCUAAUCAUUGAAACUUUGCUUUUGGUUAAUAAUUAGGUCAAUCUAACACAUAACAAUAGAUGCCAGCAGGCAAUACUUCUAAAUAAUUAGAUCUUAAUAUAUAUUAAAGGAAGUAAUUACCAUGAGGAUUAGAAUGAAUGUCUUGAUUACUUAUAUUCACACCAAAUCUCCAAAUUCCUUGCAUGUAACAGCACAUUCUUCAGUCAUCACAAUUCAAGAAUUAUUACUAAUUAAUGGUUCUUAUUCAAAAAUAAUUGAGUCCUACAAUAUUGUCCUGCUUGACUCUAGGAGGCAGAAAUGGGACCAUUUUAUUCUUUCAGAGCAAAUGAAUUUUGUGACUAGCACUGGUUUCUUCUGCAAACACAAAGGACCUUUGUUUCCAAAUGGUCAUUUUAUUCAUUCCGCCAGAGUCCCAUUGGCACCCUUAUAAUUGUGUAUUUCAACAAACCGAACAAAAUGUUUAACUGUAAAAUAUUUUUUGUGUGUAUUGAAAAAAAAACGUAUGUUUUAAAACAAUAAAACCGUACUUUU
This is a long non-coding RNA of Equus caballus (horse), 4126 nucleotides long. Lineage: Eukaryota; Metazoa; Chordata; Mammalia; Perissodactyla; Equidae. The record is from Ensembl.